Physeter macrocephalus (sperm whale) is the source of this 1055-nucleotide long non-coding RNA. RefSeq lists it as uncharacterized. The record is from RefSeq and is a predicted model, not a curated record. NCBI's taxonomy places the organism in Eukaryota, Metazoa, Chordata, Mammalia, Artiodactyla, Physeteridae. The transcript is spliced from 4 exons.
CCUUUUAUUAUUUGAGGGAAAAACCAUUAUUUAUAUGAUCAAGAGGAAAGGCUCUGUGAAAAGCACUUAAUAAAUCACACAAUUGCUACAUAACUGAAAGGCUUCAUUAUUAUCUCACUGGGAGGUGUGAAUGCCACAAAAUAGUUUGGUUUAGAACUUAGAAACCAAAGUUAACAUGCAGUCAAUCAGCUCCAUAAAAGGACCUACACCGGACGUGAACUUGGUCCUAGAUUUCAGUUUCUGAUGAAAUAUUCUGCAGCUGUUGCUCACAGACAGGGCUAUUUCGGGCCAGAAUGCAAACAAUUUUUCAUUUCUGUCAUUCAGAAUCUCUCCUGAUAAUAUCAAUAUCCCUGAUAAGAGAAAUUUUGAAAAAAAAUAAUAAUCAUGAAGGAAAUGCAUUAUUCCGCUUCCUACCAAGUGACCAGCGGUACAAACCUUCCGAUCUCUUUGAUGCCAAGACAGCUGUUUGAAGGAUAAAAGCCUCCAAAGGUAACAGAGCCCCAAAGAAGCUACACGACGUGUUCAAAGUCUCAUAAUGACUGAGAUGACCCCGGGAAUCCAGGAAGGAGAAUGGAAAUCAGGCUUGUCCGUGACACUCAAGCUCCUCCAGCCCCACCGCUAGCUUCUCACUACCUCCUGCUCUGAUUAAGCACUGAACUGCACGAGUUACCGAGAGCCAAUGUGCCCACUUCCGGAGAAAAAGUUCCCGCAAGAGGGAGACGUGGUGGACAUGACAACAGACUCCUCCUGGGGCCUGGACGAUCGCAAGAGCGUAACCGGUGUUAGGUACCACCGGAGAGAGCCUGGCAGCUAAUACCACGGGACGAAACCACUCCACGAUGACACAAAAAAAAGAAGAGAACAGCUAAAUGUUUAAAGAGUCCCUGCAUUUUGAUAUUCUUCCCAACUGACCCCACCCCUGCAAACAACAUCAUAGUAAAGCACAAUUUUCACAUCAGGAGACCAUCUUAUUCCAUCUUGGCAUUGAAACAUUUAACCGCAUUUUCUAAAUGCUGUGCAUAAGGAAAUGGUUUACCUUCCAGCAUUUUUUGCAG